RNAcentral lists this ribosomal RNA (301 nucleotides) under uncultured bacterium. Its description in RNAcentral is "partial 16S ribosomal RNA". It matches the Rfam family "Bacterial small subunit ribosomal RNA", at positions 509 to 807 of the family's 1533-position model. The record is from RNAcentral.
CAGCAGCCACGGGAAUACGGAGGGUGCAAGCGUUAAUCGGAAUUACUGGGCGUAAAGCGUGCGUAGGCGGUUCGUUAAGUCUGUUGUGAAAGCCCCGGGCUCAACCUGGGAAUGGCAAUGGAUACUGGCGAGCUAGAGUGUGUCAGAGGAUGGUGGAAUUCCCGGUGUAGCGGUGAAAUGCGUAGAGAUCGGGAGGAACAUCAGUGGCGAAGGCGGCCAUCUGGGACAACACUGACGCUGAGGCACGAAAGCGUGGGGAGCAAACAGGAUUAGAUACCCCAGUAGUCCCUGUCUCUUAUAC